Molecule: small nuclear RNA, 108 nt
Organism: Jaculus jaculus (lesser Egyptian jerboa)
Lineage: Eukaryota; Metazoa; Chordata; Mammalia; Rodentia; Dipodidae
Source: Ensembl
AAUCAUAAUUAUGUUGUUUAUAUACAUACUUAGGGAAUGAUGCAGAAAAGAUUAGCAUGGCCCCUGUGCAAGGAUGACAUGCUUAUUCAUGAAGCAUUCCAUAUUUUU